RNAcentral lists this ribosomal RNA (933 nucleotides) under uncultured bacterium. Its description in RNAcentral is "bacterial SSU rRNA". It matches the Rfam family "Bacterial small subunit ribosomal RNA", at positions 8 to 916 of the family's 1533-position model. The record is from RNAcentral.
AGAGUUUGAUCCUGGCUCAGAACUAACGCUGGCGGCGUGCCUAACACAUGCAAGUCGUACGAGAAAGUUGGCUUCGGCCGAUGAGUAAAGUGGCGCACGGGUGAGUAACGCGUGGAUAAUCUACCCCUCAGUUGGGAAUAACUCAUCGAAAGGUGGGCUAAUACCGAAUAAUACUGCAUAACUUCUGUUGUGUAGUCAAAGAUGGCCUCUGCUUGCAAGCUAUCGCUGAAGGAUGAGUCCGCGUACCAUUAGCUAGUUGGUAGGGUAAUGGCCUACCAAGGCAACGAUGGUUAGCUGGUCUGAGAGGAUGAUCAGCCACACUGGAACUGAGACACGGUCCAGACUCCUACGGGAGGCAGCAGUGAGGAAUAUUGCGCAAUGGGGGCAACCCUGACGCAGCAACGCCGCGUGAGUGAGGAAGGUUUUCGGACCGUAAAGCUCUGUCGAGCGGGAAGAAAUGCAUAGUGGUUAAUAUCCAUUAUGCUUGACGGUACCGCUAAAGGAAGCACCGGCUAACUCCGUGCCAGCAGCCGCGGUAAUACGGGGGGUGCUAGCGUUGUUCGGAAUCAUUGGGCGUAAAGAGCGUGUAGGCGGCUGGAUAAGUCAGAUGUGAAAGCCCUGGGCUUAACCCAGGAAGUGCAUUUGAAACUGUUCAGCUUGAGUAAGGGAGAGGAAAGUGGAAUUCCUGGUGUAGAGGUGAAAUUCGUAGAUAUCAGGAGGAACACCGGUGGCGAAGGCGACUUUCUGGCCCUAUACUGACGCUGAGACGCGAGAGCGUGGGUAGCAAACAGGAUUAGAUACCCUGGUAGUCCACGCUGUAAACGAUGUUCACUAGGUGUUGGGGGUAUUGACCCUCUCAGUGCCGCAGCUAACGCAUUAAGUGAACCGCCUGGGGGAGUACGGUCGCAGAUUAAAACUCAAAGGAAUUGACGG